AAGUCGUAACAAGGUUUCCGUAGGUGAACCUGCGGAAGGAUCAUUAACACGUAUCCACGUAUCUACCUCUCGUGAACUUAUUUAUACUUGUAGUUAGCUCAGAUAUGUCUAAGGAAGCAGAUGACCAUGUCGUUAGGUGGAAGGGGUUAAACCUUUUCAUCUCGUUCUGCUUGCCUAUCCACCUUUUGUUGAGUACUAGUGUAUCGAGGUUGUUCUCAUAGCAAUAUGAAGUCCAGCCCUGCUAGUCAUUUCACUCCUUAGGAUGGGUAUCUGAGAAGACUCGAAUCAUGGUGGUUUUUAAUCUAUUAACCCCUUUUUUUUUAAAUUGUCUUAGUGAGUAAGAGUCGAUAAUCCAGUAAAAUGGAUUUGAAGCUCUCCUCCCAAAAAAUUAACACUAUACAACUCUUAGCAACGGAUAUCUCGGUUCU
RNAcentral lists this unclassified non-coding RNA (428 nucleotides) under fungal sp. RNAcentral describes it as "partial internal transcribed spacer region". The stretch from base 1 to 46 matches the Rfam family "Eukaryotic small subunit ribosomal RNA", at positions 1786 to 1831 of the family's 1831-position model. The record is from RNAcentral. Lineage: Eukaryota; Fungi.